UUCCAUUCUCUCUCCCUCUCCUAUCUCAACCUCUCGUGGGGUUUAUAUAUAUUAAACACACUAAAGUGACUUCAUACCAGAAUUCUUUCUCUUUGUAUACGGCUAAGUCACGCGUCAUUACCUUAAUGUGUGACACCAUCAAAAAAUUGUUUCUUGUUUCCUUCUGCUGUCAAUUUCCAAACUAAUUCACUCUUUAAACUUGACAGGUAAACACACAAUUAGUGC
Molecule: long non-coding RNA, 225 nt
Filed under: Nicotiana benthamiana
Lineage: Eukaryota; Viridiplantae; Streptophyta; Magnoliopsida; Solanales; Solanaceae
Description: long non-coding RNA (NBEN_LNC008166)
Source: RNAcentral